This is a long non-coding RNA of Labrus bergylta (ballan wrasse), 2773 nucleotides long. RefSeq lists it as uncharacterized. NCBI's taxonomy places the organism in Eukaryota, Metazoa, Chordata, Actinopteri, Labriformes, Labridae. The record is from RefSeq and is a predicted model, not a curated record.
UUCUCCUUGCGGCUCCACUCCAGCAGGAACAUCUUCGGAGUGAUGUGAGGCGGAUACUCCCUCCUACAAGCCAAAAAGAAACACAGGGAGCCUGAGAACUGACCGCUCAAACUUCACCGCCAUGGUGGUGAUGUCUCCGUCCAUCACGGGGUGGUCCGGCUGGCUGUCGGUCUGCAGGGCGUCCUUCCUGCUCUGCUGCUCGCUCUGAAUCUGCUGGAGAAAAGUUUGCAGAGUGUUUGAGUCUUACUUGGCGAUGACAGGGAUGGAAACAGCCCGAGCGACGGCCUGAAUGUAAUCACAGUGAAGGGGAUGUCGAGGACGCUCCUCCUUUAACCUGAGCAACACAACAACCAGAAGAGCAACACGGACAUGUUUCAGGUGUGUUAAGUGUCCGGGGUGGAUCUCAACGCAGAGCGGCUGACCCGACUGUGAAGCAGCAGUGAAGACGGAUAUCUACCACCUCAGUGUUUCUGUUUCUCAUCGAUUGACCGACCAAGACGCACAAGAGAACCUCAGACAGAGACUGAGUGCUUGCGUGAGAGCUGACAGUUGGAGCCCACCGCCGACUGCUGAUUGGACGCAUGUUUGUUUUUGAAUGUGUUCCUGUGCGAGAGAAUGAACAUCCCUCCCCGAGCCGGCGUUCAUGGUGUGACGAGUAUGUGCUGCUGUUUACCUGCCGUGAACAGCCACAGCAGCGACGCCGGUCUUCUCGAUCCUCUGGACCAGACUGACCGUGUCCUCCACCUGAAACCAGAAGAACAGAGCAUCCAGGUCGUCAGGAAGUGAAUGUUAAUCACAUUUUUGAGAUUGAAUGUAAAAAACAAUGACAAGGGGACUAACAUUUUAAAAAGUAAUUUGACACACACAGGGAUAAUGUUCACAUCUUACCGAAGGCAGGAUUCUGAUUUUACACGUGACGGGAAUGGAAACGCCUGUGACAAGCUUCUUCAGAAUCUACUAGGAGACAAAAGUCGUUUUUUUAAUGUCUCCGUAUCCACCUGAUGACAUCACACAUUGACCUUUGUUACCGUUCCUUUGAGCUGUUUGACCGUCACUUUGGGAUCCCUAACCGCUUCCUGUUCCUGUGCUUAACUUCAUGUCCUAAUCUUCACUUUACAGGAAGAGCCUUACUGUAUUUCAAAAUAAAAGCAACUAAAGUACUCUCAGGUAAAACCAGUUCAAAACUUCAAAAUAAAAGCCUAACUAUUUUUAUUUUUGCACAAUAGCUUUCCCAAUACUCACCGCCUCGAUUUUAUCAGGAUCUGACAGAAGAGCAGCUCCCAUCCCGCCCUGCAAGAGGUCAAAGGUCACCUAGGGUUGCUGCACACUUUUUCAAAAGUCUAAUAUAAGACGUUUAAAGACUUGACGCACACAAAGAAACAUUAGGACCAUUUUAUACCAGAUAUCAUGCGGGACUCAAAAGGCUUUUAUUCCAAUUGGUCCACGUUUAGAAACUUUUUCUGCAAAUCGUUUGUCCCCUGCUGACUAGACAGAGUAAAUAUGACAAAGUAUUCAAACAUGUCUCAAAGGCUCAUCUUAACUUUAAGACCUCUCUCAGGUUAAAAUAAGACUUUUUAGGGACACCUAGAGAUCAAAAACUAGAGAAGGCGUUGCAGCUGCAGGUCGGUCACUGAGAGGAGACUCACCUUGGUGGAGUAUUCUUUUGGACAGCCCAUGUUCACAUCGAUGGCGGCCACAUCCUUCUCCCUGAUCAACAACAGAAGAACAAGAACAGGAGCCAUGAAUUAAAUGUUUAAGUCUGUUUAUGAUAUCAUUAUUGGGUGAUCAUAUUGAGUAUGAGGAUAGCAGGUCACACAGAUACACUGAGAUUCCUCACAUUGUCUACAGAACGCAGCAUCCAUGUUGUUUCUUGUUGUUACAACAUUGCGACAUUCUGAAUUGAAAGCGUGUGAACUAACUGAAGAUGGGAGAGCGACUUGGACACUGGGACUAUCCGAGGAGCACCUGAAUGCAGUGCAAGUCACGAACAGGUUUCACUGAAGAAAACUUCACUUUUAGUCGGACUCUGUGUCGUGCUCUAAACUCACACAAGCUGGGCGACGGUCAGCGCUCGGUCUGGGUCAGCAGUCCCCUAAAAGUACAAAGAGAAAAAGUGACCCCUCAAGAGAAAACAUACGAGGAAAAUAAAUACGUUCCGGAUGUUUCCUGUCUCACCAUCUGGAAGACGACUCUGUCCUUCUCCCUCUCACAGGUCCUGAACAUCACUCGAUCAUCAGGGGCGACGAAAUCCACCGUCUGCAGCACCUCUGACAAAUACACAGAACAUCAAAGUGUGAGGGCGAUCCUCUCACAAGCUGUGGCAUGAAGGAGAAGAUAAAGUGAGAGAUUCUUACGGUUCUCCACCCUGUGACACUGAGCCAUUUUUAUGUCAAUCAACUCCUGAAAGAGACAGAAAAAGAGUCAUUAAACAACUUUUAUACACACUAAAAGAUUAAUUUCUCUGCCAAAGCCUCCACCCUCACCUCGCAGUAAACCACGUCAGCUCCGUAGUCCAGAGCCAGCAGCCUCAUGGGCAGAGUCCCCACCCGGACCAUCGGAGCCAGGGCGGUGAUGUUGCAGAAGUUCAGCCUGCCAGCUGUCAUCAUGGCGGCUCAGACCUCCUGAUAACAUCACAGAGGAGAAGAUAGUCAUGCAUGUACUUCUGAACCAACCAUCCUUCCUGGGCGGACAGAUCCUUCUCCAUUGCUGCUCCCACUCUACUCACUCCCAAAAACCAUCAGAGACCAGAGAGUUUUUAAAUGUUUGCUAAAUA